UUACCUCAGUAAUCCCUAAAUACCAUUCUUAUCAGAUAGUCCUUAUCCUAAUCCCUGAACUACAAUGCAUGAUUGUGUGCGACUCUCUUAACCUCAAAUAAAUUGGUCUGGACUCCCCUAGAAACAGCUCACAAACCCAUGCUGCAAAAAACAUACCAUUCUGCUGAUGAACCACCGGCGUUCCCAGCGAUGUGGGAGGAGAAAACCCUUGUUAUCUCUGCGACGGAGCAGCCACCCCUGGUGGUCACCCUGGCCUAGCUCUCUGCACGAGAUGCGGCGACUUCCUGCAGUAAGCAUAAGAAUCAGCAACUUGGGCUUUUGAUGGAAAAUGGCUGAUACCUAGGUCUAUCCUCAACUUUUCAUGAGAGCGACAUUAGUAUUCUGCAUGCAUUCCUGGCUCUUACCCUGAUCUGCCACUAAGAUUCCUCGACGCCAGACCGAGGGUGAACUACUCCGUGUCUCCCUAAGCACAACGGCUGGGGGCUCAGGGUUAGCCAAGGC
Long non-coding RNA from Penaeus monodon (black tiger shrimp), 501 nucleotides. RefSeq lists it as uncharacterized. The transcript has 3 exons. The record is from RefSeq and is a predicted model, not a curated record. Lineage: Eukaryota; Metazoa; Arthropoda; Malacostraca; Decapoda; Penaeidae.